CAGUCGCCGCGGUAAUACGUAGGGUGCGAGCGUUAAUCGGAAUUACUGGGCGUAAAGCGUGCGCAGGCGGUUCGGAAAGAGAGAUGUGAAAUCCCAGGGCUUAACCUUGGAACUGCAUUUUUAACUACCGGACUAGAGUGUGUCAGAGGGAGGUGGAAUUCCGCGUGUAGCAGUGAAAUGCGUAGAGAUGCGGAGGAACACCGAUGGCGAAGGCAGCCUCCUGGGAUAACACUGACGCUCAUGCACGAAAGCGUGGGGAGCAAACAGGAUUAGAGACCCCUGUAGUCCCUGUCUCUUAUAC
Molecule: ribosomal RNA, 301 nt
Filed under: uncultured bacterium
Lineage: Bacteria
Description: partial 16S ribosomal RNA
Rfam family: Bacterial small subunit ribosomal RNA
Source: RNAcentral